GGGGGUAAGCGACUGCACCGUUCGGGAGAGCGCUUGAAUGGCAUUCAAGAGGUCAGCGGUUCGAUCCCGCUUAUCUCCACCA
This 82-nucleotide transfer RNA is filed under the name Oscillospiraceae bacterium. RNAcentral's name for it is "tRNA-Ala". Lineage: Bacteria; Bacillati; Bacillota; Clostridia; Eubacteriales; Oscillospiraceae. The record is from RNAcentral.